GAUGAACGCUAGCUACAGGCUUAACACAUGCAAGUCGAGGGGUAACGAGAGGGAAGCUUGCUUUCCUUGUCGACGACCGGCGGAUGGGUGAGUAACGCGUAUCCAACCUGCCCUUCAGUAAGGGAUAGCCUUUCGAAAGAAAGAAUAAUACCUUAUGUGAUCGUUUGAUGACAUCAGACGACGAUCAAAGAUUUAUCGCUGAAGGAUGGGGAUGCGUCCCAUUAGGCAGUAGGCGGGGUAACGGCCCACCUAACCUACGAUGGGUAGGGGUUCUGAGAGGAAGGUCCCCCACAUUGGAACUGAGACACGGUCCAAACUCCUACGGGAGGCAGCAGUGAGGAAUAUUGGUCAAUGGCCGUAAGGCUGAACCAGCCAAGUAGCGUGCAGGAUGACGGCCCUAUGGGUUGUAAACUGCCUUUAAACGGGGAUAAAGUGAGCCACGUGUGGUUUAUUGCAGGUACCGUUUGAAUAAGGACCGGCUAAUUCCGUGCCAGCCGCCGCGGUAA
This 506-nucleotide ribosomal RNA is filed under the name uncultured bacterium. RNAcentral's name for it is "partial 16S ribosomal RNA". It matches the Rfam family "Bacterial small subunit ribosomal RNA", at positions 28 to 523 of the family's 1533-position model. The record is from RNAcentral.